GAAAUGCGAUACGUAAUGUGAAUUGCAGAAUUCAGUGAAUCAUCGAGUCUUUGAACGCACAUUGCGCCCCCUGGUAUUCCGGGGGGCAUGCCUGUCCGAGCGUCAUUGCUGCCCUCAAGCACGGCUUGUGUGUUGGGCCCCCGUCCCCACCCAAGGGGACGGGCCCGAAAGGCAGCGGCGGCACCGUGUCCGGUCCUCGAGCGUAUGGGAAGCAACUUUUUGUCACCCGCUCCUGUAGGUCCGGCCGGCGGCCUGCCCAACCCCAACCUUUUUUUCAACCAGGUUGACCUCGGAUCAGGUAGGGAUACCCGCUGAACUUAAGC
This 323-nucleotide unclassified non-coding RNA is filed under the name plant metagenome. RNAcentral describes it as "partial contains 5.8S ribosomal RNA, internal transcribed spacer 2, and large subunit ribosomal RNA". The stretch from base 1 to 105 matches the Rfam family "5.8S ribosomal RNA", at positions 50 to 154 of the family's 154-position model. The record is from RNAcentral.